Molecule: transfer RNA, 76 nt
Filed under: Hadesarchaea archaeon
Lineage: Archaea; Methanobacteriati; Hadarchaeota (SeqCode); Hadarchaeia (SeqCode)
Description: tRNA-Pro
Rfam family: tRNA
About the family: Transfer RNA (tRNA) molecules are approximately 80 nucleotides in length. Their secondary structure includes four short double-helical elements and three loops (D, anti-codon, and T loops).
Source: RNAcentral
GGGGCGGUGGUCUAGCUUGGUUUAGGAUACCAGCUUCGGGAGCUGGAGGCCCGGGGUUCAAAUCCCCGCCGCCCCA